CGCCCGUCGCUCCUACCGAUUGGGUGUGCUGGUGAAGCGUUCGGAUUGGCGGCCUCCGGCGGUUCGCCGCUGGGAGCAGCCGAGAAGUUCGUCAAACCCUCCCACCUAGAGGAAGGAGAAGUCGUAACAAGGUUUCC
This 137-nucleotide ribosomal RNA is filed under the name uncultured Trebouxiophyceae. Its description in RNAcentral is "partial small subunit ribosomal RNA". It matches the Rfam family "Eukaryotic small subunit ribosomal RNA", at positions 1670 to 1804 of the family's 1831-position model. Lineage: Eukaryota; Viridiplantae; Chlorophyta; Trebouxiophyceae. The record is from RNAcentral.